UUUUUUAACUUUAGUGGCGGACGGGUGAGUAACGCGUGAGAAUUUGCCUUUAGGAGGGGAACAACAGUUAGAAAUGAUUGCUAAUGCCCCAUAUGCUUUAUAAAGUGAAAUGGAGUUUAUCCGCCUGAAGAGAAGCUCGCGUCUGAUUAGCUAGUUGGUAAGGUAAUGGCUUACCAAGGCGACGAUCAGUAACUGGUUUGAGAGGAUGAUCAGUCACACUGGAACUGAGACACGGUCCAGACUCCUACGGGAGGCAGCAGUGGGGAAUUUUCUGCAAUGGGCGAAAGCCUGACAGAGCAAUACCGCGUGAGGGAUGAAGGCUCGUGGGUCGUAAACCUCUUUUUUCAAGGAGGAAUCAAUGACGUGUACUUGAAGAAUAAGCAUCGGCUAACUCCGUGCCAGCAGCCGCGGUAAGACGGAGGAUGCAAGUGUUAUCCGGAAUCACUGGGCGUAAAGCGUCUGUAGGUGGUUUAAUAAGUCUAUUGUUAAAUCUUGAGGCUUAACUUCAAAUCA
RNAcentral lists this ribosomal RNA (513 nucleotides) under uncultured bacterium. RNAcentral describes it as "bacterial SSU rRNA". It matches the Rfam family "Bacterial small subunit ribosomal RNA", at positions 77 to 622 of the family's 1533-position model. The record is from RNAcentral.